Molecule: ribosomal RNA, 671 nt
Filed under: Callionymus sp. KU 7248
Lineage: Eukaryota; Metazoa; Chordata; Actinopteri; Syngnathiformes; Callionymidae
Description: partial 16S ribosomal RNA
Rfam family: Bacterial large subunit ribosomal RNA
Source: RNAcentral
UACCCCUCGUACCUUUUGCAUCAUGAUUUAGCAAGCGUUCCUUAGGCAAAAAGUCUUUUAGUCUAAACACCCGAAACCAGGCGAGCUACUCCGAGGCAGCCUUAAUAUAGGGCCUACCCGUCUCUGUGGCAAAAGAGUGGGGAGAACUCUGAGUAGAGGUGAAAAACCUAUCGAGCCUGGUUAUAGCUGGUUGCCUGAGAAAUGAAUAGAAGUUCAGCACUGCUGCUUCUUUAGAAGCUGCAGCAGUUAGUUUAAAGGGGAACAGCCCUUUAAACCCAGAAUACAAUCUACCAGAAGGAUAAAGAUCAUAAUAAUAAAGGUGCGACACCCAGGUGGGCCUAAGAGCAGCCACCCUUUUAGAUAGCGUUAAAGCUCGUGUGUUAAAUUCCGAUAAGCCAUCUUAAUCCUCUUUGACUAUCAGGCCGUAUUAUAUAACUUAAUAGUGACAAUGCUAAUAUGAGUAAUAAGGGGAGACCCCCUCCUUUUACAAGUGUACCUCGGAACGAACUCACACCGACAAUUAACGAACCCAAGCCGGAGCGUAGUGGGCCCAGGCCAGAAAAACACCCCUCGUUAACCCCACACUGGUAUAAUAAUUAGGAAAGACUAAAAGGGAAAGAAGGAACUCGGCAAAUAAGCUUCGCCUGUUUACCAAAAACAUCGCCUCUUGA